UUUUGGAUUAGAUUUUGUUUAUACUUUGAUGCAUAUAAUUGUAAACAAUAACUAUGUACAUAAGUAAGUAAUGUAUGUGUGUAUGUAAGUAAGAAUUGUAUGUGUGUAUGAGAGACUGAGAGAAAGUGAUAGUGAAUGCAAGUGGUUCUCAUUUCUUUUUCUAUUUUCUUUACAUUGGUAUUUCCUGAUAUUUAUUUAUCUAUUCAUAAAUUUUUACUCUUUCCUUUUUUUUUUUUUUUUUUUUUUGUUAUUUCUUAAUUACUUGCAGUGUGUUUUAAAGUUUAUCUUAGUUAUUUAACUUUAAUUUAUUUUU
RNAcentral lists this long non-coding RNA (313 nucleotides) under Mytilus galloprovincialis (Mediterranean mussel). The record is from RNAcentral. Lineage: Eukaryota; Metazoa; Mollusca; Bivalvia; Mytilida; Mytilidae.